Molecule: ribosomal RNA, 119 nt
Filed under: Pteropus alecto (black flying fox)
Lineage: Eukaryota; Metazoa; Chordata; Mammalia; Chiroptera; Pteropodidae
Source: RNAcentral
GUCUACGGCCAUGUCACCCUGAACGUGUCUGAUCUCGUCUGAUCUCGGAAGCUAAGCAGUGUAGGGCCUGGUUAGUUCUUGGAUGGGAGACCACCUAGGAAUACCAGGUGCUGUAGGCA